GUAAUUCCAAGAUUUCACCAGAUGGCUGGUUUGGUGUCAGUCUUGAUUCUUCAGUACUCAAGUGGAGACUGUAAGCCCUUUGGGCAAAGACACCGUGUCUUAUACCUGCACUCUUACAAUAUUUGCUGAUUCAUCUCCCUACCUGUAAGUCUCCACUCUCCAACCGAACCUCCACAAGUGAUAUUCCAAAAGCAAAGGAAAAAAUGCUGUUCUGGGGCUUAGCUCCCUUGAAGAGGUCUUUAUUUGUCUCGGAGCCUGAAUCAGCCUUUUGGAGAGGAGGACUUCCUCAUGCUCAGUUAGUAAACAUCACUUACAACAAGGAACUCCCCAACCACGUUUUGUUGUUGUGGACAGAGUUUCACAUCAGGGAAUCAACUCUACAAAUUUCACUAAAUUCAGCAACUGACUUCAUCUGGUUAUUGAGUUUGGAGAAUUCCCAUGGGAAGAUCAAUGUGACCUGAAAAGUUUCAAAUAGUCAUUUCUGAAAGCUCUUAUUCAAAAAAGUGUCGAUGUUACUGAGAUCUCAGAUUGACUUGAGGAAGUUUUCAUAAACCAGAAUAUUCAGAAAUCUGCAACAAUCAAAUUGCAAAAUUUAUAUUCUGAAAAAAUGGAAAACUUAACCUGUUAUUCUUAAGUUAUACUUUCAUUUACUUCAAACAGUAAAUAAAUAAAUGACUGAAGCAAAGUACACCCUAACAAGACACCAGUUAUUAGAAUGUCAGAGUAGGACCAAUGUCUGGUUUUAGGAUAUACUGUGUGCAAAGUAUUUUGAGAAGGAGCCUGGAAUAAUGAAGACAGUAAUUCACAUGGAACCAGAAGACUUGGGUAAGAAUCCUCCCUCAUACACUUACUAGCUGUGUAACCAUGGACAAGGCCUAUAACCACAGACGGGCUGGUAAAUGUUUAGCAACUAGGUCUCCAGGAAAAAAAAAUAAUCCUGACACACUUUAAAGCUUAAUUUCCAUUAUUAACAUUUUCUCCAUCACUUUCUUA
Non-coding RNA from Phascolarctos cinereus (koala), 993 nucleotides. Lineage: Eukaryota; Metazoa; Chordata; Mammalia; Diprotodontia; Phascolarctidae. The record is from RefSeq and is a predicted model, not a curated record.